AUGAACGCUGGCGGCGUGCCUAACACAUGCAAGUCGAGCGGAGAUUUAUAGAAGUAGCAAUACGGAAAUUUAUCUUAGCGGCGGACGGGUGAGUAACACGUGAGGAACCUACCUUCAACUGGGGAAUAACACCGUGAAAACGGUGCUAAUACCGCAUAACGUUGCACCAUGGCAUCAUGGAGCAACCAAAGGAGCAAUCCGGUAGAAGAUGGCCUCGCGUCCGAUUAGUUAGUUGGUGGGGUAAUGGCCUACCAAGACAGCGAUCGGUAGCCGGACUGAGAGGUCGAUCGGCCACAUUGGAACUGAGAAACGGUCCAGACUCCUACGGGAGGCAGCAGUGGGGAAUAUUGGGCAAUGGGCGAAAGCCUGACCCAGCAACGCCGCGUGAAGGAAGAAGGCCUUCGGGUUGUAAACUUCUUUGAUCGGGGACGAAAAAAAUGACGGUACCCGAAAAACAAGCCACGGCUAACUACGU
RNAcentral lists this ribosomal RNA (475 nucleotides) under uncultured bacterium. RNAcentral describes it as "bacterial SSU rRNA". It matches the Rfam family "Bacterial small subunit ribosomal RNA", at positions 29 to 506 of the family's 1533-position model. The record is from RNAcentral.